CUACGGGAGGCAGCAGUGGGGAAUCUUGCGCAAUGGGAGAAAUCCUGACGCAGCAACGCCGUGUGAGUGAUGAAGGCCUUCGGGUCGUAAAGCUCUGUCAGAUGGAAAGAAUAAGUCUGCUGAAAAUAUUGGCAGAUGAUGACGGUACCAUCGGAGGAAGCACCGGCUAACUCCGUGCCAGCAGCCGCGGUAAUACGGAGGGUGCAAGCGUUGUUCGGAAUUAUUGGGCGUAAAGCGCGUGUAGGCGGAUAGAUAAGUCAGGUGUGAAAUCCCUUGACCCAAUCAAGGAACUGCACUUGAAACUAUUUGUCUCGAGUACGAUAGGGGAGGGCGGAAUUCCCAGUGUAGAGGUGAAAUUCAUAGAUAUUGGGAGGAACACCAGUGGCGAAGGCGACCCUCUGGAUCGAUACUGACGCUGAGACGCGAAAGCGUGGGUAGCAAACAGGAUUAGAUACCCCGGUAGG
This 464-nucleotide ribosomal RNA is filed under the name uncultured bacterium. Its description in RNAcentral is "bacterial SSU rRNA". It matches the Rfam family "Bacterial small subunit ribosomal RNA", at positions 339 to 794 of the family's 1533-position model. The record is from RNAcentral.